RNAcentral lists this long non-coding RNA (727 nucleotides) under Numida meleagris (helmeted guineafowl). RNAcentral describes it as "lncRNA (ENSNMEG00000010674.1)". Lineage: Eukaryota; Metazoa; Chordata; Aves; Galliformes; Numididae. The record is from RNAcentral.
AUGGAGCGGCUGAGAGCCCUUCGAGGUCUCUUUGCUUGUGUGGGCUGCAUGCCCAGACGUACGCGUCGCGGGAGCAGAGGCAGGGCGGCAAGCGCUGUCCCUGCCUGUCCCGUGACGUUGCUGCUGCAGCGCCUGCAAGACAGGGAGGGUGACCGAGCGCAGGCGUACUGCGAGCUGGAGAGCGCCCUGUGGGAAGAGGACAGCCGCCCGCCGUGCGGAGUGGCGAACCGGCUGCUGGCAGAGGUGUCCCAGGACCUGACGGCAGCCCAGGGCGCGAUGGACAACGUGAGGACGGCUGCCAGCAAUGUCCUGGUGGCUCUGGCCCGCUCGCACUUCAGCUUGGUGAUGGCCGAGCUCCAGGGCCACCUGAAGGCCGUGGCGGAGAUGUCCAAGGAGUUUGCGCUCGUCACCCUGAGCAAGCUGUUCAGCAGCUACGCUCCGCAGUGCAUCGCCUUCAUGUGCCUGACACUGGCCGGCCUGCGCAGUGUGGCUGGCCAGGUGAGGAGCGGCCGCACCCUGCGCAUCGCUUGUGCUGUUGUCAAACAAUGGUCGGAAGGAGUCAAGGCUCACCUGUACUCCGGAAAGCAAUGCCCCUGGCCCGCCACGGAGAAAGAGCGAAUCUUUGAGAAUCUUUACCAGCUCCUCUGCUCUGUGGUGAGGAACUGGCAGGGCUGCGAGGAGGAACAGGUGAGCGCUGCUGCAGUGCCAUCCCGGGAUGGCAGCGGGG